UUUUGGUUGAGAUGUUAAAUGGUGGACGAG
This 30-nucleotide non-coding RNA is filed under the name Cricetulus griseus (Chinese hamster). Lineage: Eukaryota; Metazoa; Chordata; Mammalia; Rodentia; Cricetidae. The record is from RNAcentral.